Molecule: long non-coding RNA, 999 nt
Filed under: Olea europaea subsp. europaea
Lineage: Eukaryota; Viridiplantae; Streptophyta; Magnoliopsida; Lamiales; Oleaceae
Source: RNAcentral
CUCGAAUUAAAACUAAAAAUUAAACAAUUUUGUCAUCCAUCCAAUACAUGAGAAAAAUUAGCCUAGCAUACUGUUGAAAUCAAACAAAUAAAAGUGGAAGAACAUCACCGAAAUUUGACGAAACGUGAUUAAUUUCAAAAGUAUUCUCGGCUUCUACAUGUAUGUAUUUUUCCCCAACAGCAAGUAGGCUCCUCCUUUUAUUUUUAUCUCCAAAUGGCACUAAUUCUCUUCCCUUGUCCACGUGGUUCUGUAGGUAUGUAUGUGUAUUUUAAAUCACAAAGUUGCCCUUUUUUUUCUUCCUCUCGCCGCCAACUUGCUGUGUCUUCUUUCUGUCCUCAAUUCACGUUUGUUUGUAUGUGAUUCCAGCCGGCAAUUGUAUGUCUCUCUUCUAAUUUCCACCAGCAGCUUAUGUAUGUAUAUAUCAUAUAAUUCAGCAACCGAAAAUUGUAUAUGAAUUCCAAAGUGGCCUCCUCUUUUUCUGUCUUCUGUCCACCUUUAAUUCAGUAGCUGAAGCCUAUUUUUCUCUUUCUCCUCCCUAAGAUGCCGACCAGAUUGUAAUUUUUUUUUUGUCAACUCCCCUCCAAUCUGCUGCCCAAUUAUAUGUGUGAAUCACUCAACAUUUUCCCAAGCAGCUGCCUUUUAUACUCCAAUUGUAGCCAACGUCUUCCACUCCAAUUUUCUUCCUAGUCGUUUCUCUCCUUUCUGCCGGCACCAAUCUGUAAAUACAAAAAUAGAAUUCAACCCGCCCCUUGAUAUGUGUGAAAAUUAUAAUAAUGGCUCCCCCCCUGUUUCUCUCGGUAGGCGCCUAUAUAUACUUCCAAUCAGCCAAGUAAUUUUAUUCACAAAAAUAUUCCAAUACCAUCCCUAAUUUCCAAACUGCCGUGUGUAAUUUUAUAUGGACAAAUCUAAUUGGGCCACCCACUUGUAUUAUCAAAGUCCCAUAUGUAAUUUAAUUGCACAUAACUUCCAAUCCAAGUAAAAGUCUAGUUAAGGUCCAUU